ACUCCCGUUUACAAGUCACCUCCACCACCAGAGAAGUCAUAUCAUUCUGCACUAGUAUAUAAGUCUCCACCACCUCCAACUCCAGUUUACAAAUCACCACCACCACCAGUGAAGCCAUACCAUCCUACACCAGUAUACAAGUCUCCACCACCACAAACUCUAGUUUACAAAUCACCACCACCACCAGUGAAGCCAUACCACCCUGCUCCAGUAUACAAGUCUCCACCACCACCAACUCCAGUUUACAAGUCACCACCACCAUCGGUGAAGCCAUACCACCCUUCUCCAGUAUACAAGUCUCCACCACCACCAACUCCAAUUUACAAGUCACCAUCACCGGUAAAGCCAUACCAUCCUGCACCAGUAUACAAGUCUCCACCACCACCAACUCCCAUUUACAAGUCACCUCCACCACCAGUGAAGCCAUACCAUCCUGCACCAGUAUACAAAUCUCCAC
This 457-nucleotide long non-coding RNA is filed under the name Solanum pimpinellifolium. Its description in RNAcentral is "long non-coding RNA (SPIM_LNC000100)". Lineage: Eukaryota; Viridiplantae; Streptophyta; Magnoliopsida; Solanales; Solanaceae. The record is from RNAcentral.